AUGCUUGAUAUUGCUGCAGUUCCCUGGUUCUGGAUUUGGUCUCCCAAUUAUAAACCCCUGUUAAAUCAGAAAAAUGGUAUUUCUCCUUUAGCAAAUGUUAAUAAAAUUUUAAGGAUGUACUCUACUUGCAGAUCUUUUCUCGGGGCAAUUCCCACCAACCAAGGUGGGGAGAAGAGCAAGGACUGUGUGCGAGACAUCCUUCUUCCGGCACAUAACACAUUCUUUAAACAGGCCAAUCUGCACCGAAGGAGGUUGAGUGGACAGGAGAUUGCUGUGUUUACGAGCUCAUUUAUAUCCUGAUAUUUUGAGCAGCUGGGCUAAGUUUUCCAGGAUGGCACAAUAACAAGAAAUUAAUCUGCAAACUAAGAGAAAAAUGAACAUGGAUAAAAUUAGACACUCAACAAGCAAACUAAGCAGCCAA
Molecule: long non-coding RNA, 421 nt
Filed under: Apteryx owenii (little spotted kiwi)
Lineage: Eukaryota; Metazoa; Chordata; Aves; Apterygiformes; Apterygidae
Description: lncRNA (ENSAOWG00000014673.1)
Source: RNAcentral